RNAcentral lists this ribosomal RNA (408 nucleotides) under uncultured bacterium. RNAcentral describes it as "partial 16S ribosomal RNA". It matches the Rfam family "Bacterial small subunit ribosomal RNA", at positions 28 to 526 of the family's 1533-position model. The record is from RNAcentral.
GACGAACGCUGGCGGCGUGCUUAACACAUGCAAGUCGAACGAAGUGGCGAACGGGUGAGUAACGCGUAAUCAACCUGCCCUUCAGAGGGGGACAACAGUUGGAAACGACUGCUAAUACCGCAUACAGACGGGGGGGAUUGCGUCUGAUUCGCUAGUUGGAGGGGUCACGGCCCAACAAGGCGAUGAUGAGUAGCCGGUCUGAGAGGUGGAACGGCCACAUUGGGACUGGGACACGGCCCAGACUCCUACGGGAGGCAGCAGUGGGGAAGCUUCCGCAAUGGACGAAAGUCUGACGAAGCAACGCCGCGUGAGUGAUGACGGCCUUCGGGUUGGAAAGCGCUGUUAAUCGGGACGCGGUACCGGAAUAGAAAGCCACGGCUAACUACGUGCCAGCCGCCGCGGUAAUUC